AGUCAUAUGCUUGUCUCAAAGAUUAAGCCAUGCAUGUCUAAGUAUAAGCAAUUAUACAGCGAAACUGCGAAUGGCUCAUUAUAUAAGUUAUCGUUUAUUUGAUAGUACCUUACUACUUGGAUAACCGUGGUAAUUCUAGAGCUAAUACAUGCUAAAAAUCCCGACUCACGAAGGGAUGUAUUUAUUAGAUUAAAAACCAAUGCCCUCUGGGCUUCUUGGUGAUUCAUAAUAACUUCUCGAAUCGCAUGGCCUUGCGCCGGCGAUGGUUCAUUCAAAUUUCUUCCCUAUCAACUUUCGAUGUUUGGGUAUUGGCCAAACAUGGUCGCAACGGGUAACGGAGGGUUAGGGCUCGACCCCGGAGAAGGAGCCUGAGAAACGGCUACUACAUCCAAGGAAGGCAGCAGGCGCGCAAAUUACCCAAUCCCGAUUCGGGGAGGUAGUGACAAUAAAUACUGAUACAGGGCUCUUUUGGGUCUUGUAAUUGGAAUGAGUACAAUUUAAAUCUCUUAACGAGGAACAAUUGGAGGGCAAGUCUGGUGCCAGCAGCCGCGGUAAUUCCAGCUCCAAUAGCGUAUAUUAAAGUUGUUGUGGUUAAAAAGCUCGUAGUUGAACCUUGGGCUCGGCCGGCCGGUCCGUCUCACCACGUGUACUGGCCUGGCCGGGCCUUUCCCUCUGUGGAACCCCAUGCCCUUCACUGGGUGUGGCGGGGAAACAGGACUUUUACUUUGAAAAAAUUAGAGUGCUCCAGGCAGGCCUAUGCUCGAAUACAUUAGCAUGGAAUAAUAAAAUAGGACGUGUGGUUCUAUUUUGUUGGUUUCUAGGACCGCCGUAAUGAUUAAUAGGGACAGUCGGGGGCAUCAGUAUUCAAUUGUCAGAGGUGAAAUUCUUGGAUUUAUUGAAGACUAACUACUGCGAAAGCAUUUGCCAAGGAUGUUUUCAUUAAUCAGGAACGAAAGUUAGGGGAUCGAAGACGAUCAGAUACCGUCGUAGUCUUAACCAUAAACUAUGCCGACUAGGGAUCGGACGAUGUUAUUUUUUGACGCGUUCGGCACCUUACGAGAAAUCAAAGUGCUUGGGCUCCAGGGGGAGUAUGGUCGCAAGGCUGAAA
RNAcentral lists this ribosomal RNA (1108 nucleotides) under Blackwellomyces pseudomilitaris. RNAcentral's name for it is "SSU rRNA". It matches the Rfam family "Eukaryotic small subunit ribosomal RNA", at positions 21 to 1142 of the family's 1831-position model. The record is from RNAcentral. Lineage: Eukaryota; Fungi; Ascomycota; Sordariomycetes; Hypocreales; Cordycipitaceae.